This 490-nucleotide ribosomal RNA is filed under the name uncultured bacterium. RNAcentral's name for it is "partial 16S ribosomal RNA". It matches the Rfam family "Bacterial small subunit ribosomal RNA", at positions 28 to 507 of the family's 1533-position model. The record is from RNAcentral.
GAUGAACGCUAGCUACAGGCUUAACACAUGCAAGUCGAGGGGCAGCAUGGUCUUAGCUUGCUAAGGCCGAUGGCGACCGGCGCACGGGUGAGUAACACGUAUCCAACCUGCCGUCUACUCUUGGACAGCCUUCUGAAAGGAAGAUUAAUACAAGAUGGCAUCAUGAGUCCGCAUGUUCACAUGAUUAAAGGUAUUCCGGUAGACGAUGGGGAUGCGUUCCAUUAGAUAGUAGGCGGGGUAACGGCCCACCUAGUCUUCGAUGGAUAGGGGUUCUGAGAGGAAGGUCCCCCACAUUGGAACUGAGACCCGGUCCACACUCCUACGGGAGGCAGCAGUGCGGAAUAUUGGUCAAUGGGCGCAGGCCUGAACCAGCCAAGUAGCGUGAAGGAUGACUGCCCUAUGGGUUGUAAACUUCUUUUAUAAAGGAAUAAAGUCGGGUAUGUAUACCCGUUUGCAUGUACUUUAUGAAUAAGGAUCGGCUAACUCCGUG